UACAGAGGGUGCAAGCGUUAAUCGGAAUUACUGGGCGUAAAGCGUGCGUAGUCGGUUAUCUAAGUCGGGUGUGAAAUCCCCGGGCUCAACCUGGGAAUUGCAUUCGAUACUGGAUAGCUAGAGUUCGGCAGAGGGAAGCGGAAUUUCCGGUGUAGCGGUGAAAUGCGUAGAUAUCGGAAGGAACAUCAGUGGCGAAGGCGGCUUCCUGGACCAGAACUGACGAUCAGGCACGAAAGCGUGGGGAGCAAACAGG
RNAcentral lists this ribosomal RNA (253 nucleotides) under uncultured bacterium. RNAcentral's name for it is "partial 16S ribosomal RNA". It matches the Rfam family "Bacterial small subunit ribosomal RNA", at positions 524 to 776 of the family's 1533-position model. The record is from RNAcentral.